This 253-nucleotide ribosomal RNA is filed under the name uncultured bacterium. Its description in RNAcentral is "partial 16S ribosomal RNA". It matches the Rfam family "Bacterial small subunit ribosomal RNA", at positions 524 to 776 of the family's 1533-position model. The record is from RNAcentral.
UACGAAGGGGGCUAGCGUUGUUCGGAAUCACUGGGCGUAAAGCGCACGUAGGCGGAUGUGUCAGUCAGGGGUGAAAUCCCGGAGCUCAACUUCGGAACUGCCUCUGAUACAGCAUAUCUUGAGUCCGGAAGAGGUGGGUGGAAUUCCCAGUGUAGAGGUGAAAUUCGUAGAUAUUAGGAAGAACACCAGUGGCGAAGGCGGCUUCCUGGACCUGAUCUGACACUGAGGAGCGAAAGCGUGGGGAGCGAUCCGG